Molecule: ribosomal RNA, 614 nt
Filed under: Lentinus glabratus
Lineage: Eukaryota; Fungi; Basidiomycota; Agaricomycetes; Polyporales; Polyporaceae
Description: eukaryotic LSU rRNA
Rfam family: 5.8S ribosomal RNA (bases 210-363)
Source: RNAcentral
AAGGAUCAUUAUCGAGUUCUGACAUGGGUUGUAGCUGGCCUUCCGAGGCAUGUGCACGCCCUGCUCAUCCACUCUACACCUGUGCACUUACUGUGGGUUUCAGGAGCUUCGAAGGCGUUUCUUACGCUGGUAGUCGUGACUGGGCCCAUGUUUACUACAAACACUUACAAGUAUCAGAAUGUGUAUUGCGAUGUAACGCAUCUAUAUACAACUUUCAGCAACGGAUCUCUUGGCUCUCGCAUCGAUGAAGAACGCAGCGAAAUGCGAUAAGUAAUGUGAAUUGCAGAAUUCAGUGAAUCAUCGAAUCUUUGAACGCACCUUGCGCUCCUUGGUAUUCCGAGGAGCAUGCCUGUUUGAGUGUCAUGAAAUUCUCAACCUAACGGGUUCUUAACGGGACUUGCUUAGGCUUGGACUUGGAGGCUUUGUCGGCUUGCUUGUCGAGUCGGCUCCUCUCAAAUGCAUUAGCCUUGGUUCUUUGCGGAUCUGGCUCACGGUGUGAUAAUUGUCUACGCCGCGACCUUUGAAGCGUUUUAAUGGACUGGCUUCUAAUCGUCUCCUUGCGAGACAAGCAUUCAUCGAACUCUGACCUCAAAUCAGGAGACAGCCCAGUUUUC